This 492-nucleotide ribosomal RNA is filed under the name uncultured bacterium. RNAcentral's name for it is "partial 16S ribosomal RNA". It matches the Rfam family "Bacterial small subunit ribosomal RNA", at positions 29 to 507 of the family's 1533-position model. The record is from RNAcentral.
AGUGAACGCUGGCGGUAGGCCUAACACAUGCAAGUCGAACGGCAGCACAGUAAGGGCUUGCUCUUACGGGUGGCGAGUGGCGGACGGGUGAGGAAUACAUCGGAAUCUACUUUUUCGUGGGGGAUAACGUAGGGAAACUUACGCUAAUACCGCAUACGACCUACGGGUGAAAGCAGGGGAUCUUCGGACCUUGCGCGAUUGAAUGAGCCGAUGUCGGAUUAGCUAGUUGGCGGGGUAAAGGCCCACCAAGGCGACGAUCCGUAGCUGGUCUGAGAGGAUGAUCAGCCACACUGGAACUGAGACACGGUCCAGACUCCUACGGGAGGCAGCAGUGGGGAAUAUUGGACAAUGGGCGCAAGCCUGAUCCAGCCAUACCGCGUGGGUGAAGAAGGCCUUCGGGUUGUAAAGCCCUUUUGUUGGGAAAGAAAAGCAGCAGGUUAAUACCCCGCUGUUCUGGCGGUACCCAAAGAAUAAGCACCGGCUAACUUCGUG